RNAcentral lists this transfer RNA (63 nucleotides) under Cryptocercus relictus (relict cockroach). RNAcentral's name for it is "tRNA-Phe". Lineage: Eukaryota; Metazoa; Arthropoda; Insecta; Blattodea; Cryptocercidae. The record is from RNAcentral.
ACUUGAAUAGCUUAUAUAGAGCAUAACAUUGAAGAUGUUAUUGAGAUUUAGAAUCUUUAAGUG